Molecule: ribosomal RNA, 774 nt
Filed under: uncultured Neocallimastigales
Lineage: Eukaryota; Fungi; Neocallimastigomycota; Neocallimastigomycetes; Neocallimastigales
Description: partial large subunit ribosomal RNA
Rfam family: Eukaryotic large subunit ribosomal RNA
Source: RNAcentral
UACUAGAGUAGCACUCGCAUAUCAAUAAGCGGAGGAAAAGAAACUAACAAGGAUUCCCCUAGUAUCGGCGAGUGAAGCGGGAAGAGCUCAAAUUUGAAAUCUUAAAGGGUUUCCCUUUACGAAUUGUAGUUUAAAGAAGUGUUUUCUGUUGAGGUUUUGGUAAAAGUUCUUUGGAAUAGGACAUCAUAGAGGGUGAGAAUCCCGUAUUUGACCUUUACUUUCAACUUUGUGAUACACUUUCAAAGAGUCGGAUUGUUUGGGAAUGCAGUCCAAAAUGGGUGGUAAAUUUCAUCUAAAGCUAAAUAUUGGCGAGAGACCGAUAGCGAACAAGUACCGUGAGGGAAAGAUGAAAGGAACUUUGAAAAGAGAGUUAAACAGUACGUGAAAUUGUCAAAAGGGAAGCGUUUGACACCAGUGUUGUUUUUCUGAAAAUCAGUUAAAGAACUGUUUAUGCUAAGUUGUUUAGACUUUAUCAGCUAACUGUUUAGUUUUGAGCUUUUCUUUAAUGCACUUUUCAGUUAACAAGUCAACAUCAAUUUCUUUUGCUGUAAAAAAGCUUGAGGAAGGUGGCUUGAGAUUCGUCUUAAGUGUUUAUAGCCUCUUGCCUAUGCAGUCGGAGAGAUUGAGGUCUGCAGCGUAGAUCCUUCGGGGCUAAAUGCAUUUGUGCUAAGUUAUAGCAUUUCAUAGACAACUUGUUGACUAUGAUUUGUCUUGUAGCUUACUCGCUUAUGUUAUUUUACCUACGCUUAGGAUGUUGAUAUCGCGCUCUCACUG